Oryctolagus cuniculus (rabbit) is the source of this 92-nucleotide small nucleolar RNA. Its record names the gene SNORD116. It matches the Rfam family "Small nucleolar RNA SNORD116". From Rfam's summary of the family: HBII-85 is a member of the C/D class of snoRNAs, which contain the C (UGAUGA) and D (CUGA) box motifs. HBII-85 is encoded in a tandemly repeated array with another C/D snoRNA, HBII-52, in the Prader-Willi syndrome (PWS) region of chromosome 15. NCBI's taxonomy places the organism in Eukaryota, Metazoa, Chordata, Mammalia, Lagomorpha, Leporidae. The record is from Ensembl.
GGGUUGAUGAUGACUCCUGCAAAUACAAUCCUUGGAAGCCGAACAAAAUGAGUGAAAACCCCAUACAGUCAUUCUCAUCGUGACUGAGGUCC